GUUACUUAUCAAGCUACCUAGCUUUGGAGAAACUUUUUUCUGUUCACACACCUGACAGGUCUGUUUGCAGAGAUGCGUUUAUAUGGGCACAGGGGGCGGGGGACGUGGAAAUUUCCCUGCUCUGAGUUCUCUGCCUGAUCUCAACACAGGUAUGGCCUGGACCCUCUGCACUGCUACCUGUCAAGUCUGGACCUGUUAACAAAGAUUCGGGGAAGAAUAGCGACCCUAAUUUCAUAGACUUUCUGUCUGGACUUACCCACAACCAUCCGGAUAUAAAUGUUGCCCUGUCCUGUUACCCACGCUAUGAGCCUCUGCUUAGACUGUGUUGUCCGAGUUCCACGCCUCUGCUCUGCUGUUCGCAGACUACACUGCAGGUCCCUCUAUCGCGUGUGAAUUUAUGCACAGAUCUAGAUGUGUGCACCAAACACCAAGGAAAUUCACCGAAAGUCCUACGGUUCUCUGCUUCUGUUUUUACCAGAGAUUUCAACUACGUCUAUGGCUUUUGGACAAUGACUUUCGGAUCCCAGCAGGUUUUACUGAUGACACCUGGGCUUAAUAGAAAUCACGUGAACUGGUCAGGAUCCUGUGCUCUCUGCUGCCCACUGUAGAUGAGGUCCCCAUCGAGAUACAGAAGGAGAACACGGCCCGGGUGCCCCGGAGGCCCAACCCCAAGAUAAUGGCUGGUUGGGGAAGAAGGAGUCGUACGAGCCGGGGUGAGUGGAAGGCCAAGCUGCAAACAGCAGCCACCCGCCGCCCCCCCCAUCCCUAUCUUCAUGUGUACUUGAUUCUUUCACCUGAGUGUCACUGAUAUGCCCUGUCUGUGGUUAGGGGGUGACCAGUAGUCACAUGUCCUACUGUCCAGUAAUGCACAUGUAUUCUGAAAAUUGCAUUGUCACUUUGAAAGAUUUGAUUUAAGAAACGUGAGGGGCGCCUGAGUGGCUCAGUUGAUUAAGCGUCUGACUCUUGAUUUCGGUCCUGGUCAUGACCCAAGUGUUGUAGGGUCAAGCCCUGUGUUAGGCUCUGUGCUGAGUAUGGAGCCUGCUUAAGAUUCUCUCCCUCUCCCCCUCCCUCUCUCCCCCACCCAUGCAUGCUCUCUCUCUAAAAUAACAAACAUGAAACUGGGUUUAAAAUCUAUCAGCAUUAUCAUUGUAAGUGUUAAAACUGUACCGGGCCAUGAAAGAAAAGGUGGAACUGUUGUCUCUUGUAAGCAUCAUUUCAGUUGCUGGUUGGUAAGUGGUUUAAGUUUUUUUUUUAAUGUUUAUUUAUUUUUGACAGAGAGAGAGAGAGACAGAGACAGAGCAUGAGCAGGGGAGGGGCAGAGAGAGAGGGAGACACAGAAUCCAAAGCAGGCUCCAGGCUCCUAGCUGUCAGUACAGAGCCCGAUGCGGGGCUCGAACUCACAUGCCAUGAGAUCAUGACCUGAGCUGAAGCUGGACGCUGAACCGACUGAGCCACCCAGGCACCCCUGGUUGGUAAGUUGUUUAAAGUUUUUAUCACCUACUCAUGUGAUCAAGGUUUGCUGUUUUGUUUUUUUUUUAACUGAUGGUUACUAGCUAUAAUAGGAGAAAACUUAUAAGAGCUUGACUAGGAAUUGUAUGUAGCAUACACACCCUGUCAAAACAAAAAUGUUCCCAAGUGUUUAAAAGCCGUCAUUUGCCUGACUUUGAGGUUUCAACAAUAUCAAAAUUAUGAACUUCUGUUUACUCAAACACUGCGCAAAGGUAGCUUUGUGGUCCAUUCGCUGAAUAAUAUAGAAAGAUUUUCUGGAAAAUGUUUCUUGAGAGAGCCUGCUCCUUUGAAGUGAAACUAAGGGCCACUAAGCCUGAUCCACGUAGAUGGCUGUUGCAUAGCCGACGAUCAUUCCAGAAGCAUCCCGUUUCUGAGUGCGAGGCAAAGACUGGCAGUGGCUUCCAGGCACAGUGAGCUCAGUAGUGUUGCGUUUGGCCCCAGAGGUCAGGAAUGAUGGUGGUCAUGGGAGAAAGAGGCAAGAGGGAUGUGGGACAUUCUCAAUUCUGGAAAUGAGAUAAAAAAAAAAAAAACGUUAAAUGAUAUGCUAUUUUAAAAAUCCAAAAAGUGGGUGAAAAGGUGAGUCACAGGCUAAAAAAUAUUUGCGACAUAAAAUCAAUAAAAGGCUAGCGUCCAGAAUGAACA
RNAcentral lists this long non-coding RNA (2151 nucleotides) under Felis catus (domestic cat). RNAcentral describes it as "lncRNA (ENSFCAG00000048441.1)". Lineage: Eukaryota; Metazoa; Chordata; Mammalia; Carnivora; Felidae. The record is from RNAcentral.